RNAcentral lists this ribosomal RNA (386 nucleotides) under Macaca nemestrina (pig-tailed macaque). RNAcentral's name for it is "12S ribosomal RNA". It matches the Rfam family "Bacterial small subunit ribosomal RNA", at positions 794 to 1383 of the family's 1533-position model. The record is from RNAcentral. Lineage: Eukaryota; Metazoa; Chordata; Mammalia; Primates; Cercopithecidae.
GCUUGGCCCUAAACCUCAGUAGUUAAACAACAAAACUACUCGCCAGAAUACUACGAGCAACGGCUUAAAACUCAAAGGACUUGACGGUGCUUUACACCCCCUAGAGGAGCCUGUUUCAUAAUCGAUAAACCCCGAUCUACCCCACCCUCUCUUGCUCAGCCUAUAUACCGCCAUCUUCAGCAAACCCUGAUAAAGGUUACAAAGUGAGCGCAAACGCCUCCCCGCAAAAACGUUAGGUCAAGGUGUAGCCCAUGAGACGGUAAAAAAUGGGCUACAUUUUCUAUAUCAGAAAAUCCACGAAAACUCUUAUGAAAUUUGAGAGUCCAAGGAGGAUUUAGCAGUAAAUUAAGAAUAGAGUGCUUAAUUGAACGAGGCCAUAAAGCGCG